UUUUCAAAAUAACCGAUGUAGUGCCUCAAAGCCAAAUGCCAAAGCCAGGUCUCCUUCUUCCCAAUCGUCUAGGUCAAGACUCGCCUCCGCGUCACCAGUCUCCUCCUCCACCAUUCUCACAACGUCAACAACCCUAACCCUAGUUUAUUGUGUCACAGCCCGCAUCACUCUUGUGGGCCUUUGGGCCUAUGGAUGAAAUCUUAGAUUGGGCGUUUCCUGCGGAGCAUUGCGGCGACUGAGUCGCAGCUGUGGGCGGCGUCGGAGUGCGGCGUGCGGUUCUGGAACUUCAAGGAUCUUUACUCGUCGUGGUGCGGCGUUGGAGAAGGAGGCAUUGUGCGGAGCGGCGACGAGGAGAGCGCGCCGUUUUGGGAGUGGGUGUGGAGUUCGCCGACGCUGUGCUUGGUUGCGGGCGAGGGGAACAGGUUGGGUUGCAGUGGACACAGGGAUGGGAAGAUUAGGUGCUAGAAGAUGGAUGAUGAGGGUUUGGAUGAUGGUAACAACUACGAUUGGAGCAAUCGGUUUAAGGAAAGCUUGUCUUGGCAGGCUCACUGUGGCCCUGUUCUUUCCCUAACGUUCACCUCUUAUGUUUUAAAGUCGAGUGGGACAAGAAAGGAACAGCUCACUCUUCCCAUCAGAAGAUGGCUCGUGCCUUGGCCGGGUCGCCUCAGUCUAUACUGAGUGGAAUCAGAAGCUGGUCGGGUCGGAGCGGUUGGAUGGAUGAAGGCUCGUUAUCAGGUGAGACCGGAGCAGGUGCAGUGAGUUUGCUGGUGAAGAUGGUCUUGCUGUUCUUCUUGUGCAUGGUUUUGGUGCCUUCUGGGAGCAUUACCGUGACAACAUACGUGGUUUAGCUGAAUCUGGAAAUAGUACUCUUGUGGGCUGAACUAUUGAGAGAUUUUAUUGUUAAAUGUUGUGGAUGAACCAGUCCACCUUGUUGGCAACUCAAUUGGCGGUUAUCUUGUUGCUAUUGUUGCUAGUAUUUGGAGUGUUUUGACCAAAUCCAUUGUUGCUAUUGUUGCUAUGAGAUUGAUUAUAUUGCUAGGUAUUGUUUCUAUUUAGCAAGAGUUGCUAUUUUUUUAUGUUGUUGUGGUUAUUUUUGUUAACUUGUUAUUAUUAUUUUGAUCUAACUUAAUUAUUUUAUUUAUGUUUGCAUAUAUAAUUAUUAUAUAGUCUCAGCUAGGGAACUGAAACCUGAAUUGAGAUUAUUAUAAAAUUUGACAUGUUUUUUUUUCUUUGUUUCUUUUAUUUCAAUUAGUUGUUUCAUCUAGAUUAUUUUUAUGUUGUCAAAGAGCAGUGUGCACACUAAAUGCACGUUAAAUUACCUCUUGAUCCGUAAAUUGUUUUUCUAUGGUUUUUGUGUUUGUGUGCAGCUUAGUUUGCCUACCAGGGGUAACUUUAAUAUUCUGAAAAUACCAGUAGUAGCCUAUAUUGGAAAAAUAGGGGAAAUCAAAAUAAGUAGCAGUCCUAAGAAUAUGCUGUAAAUAUAUUAGAACAUGAUGUUUUUUCCUUAACAAUCAGCUACAGCAGCUUGUUAUUUGCAAAGUUGAUUCCCAACUAAUUUCUUCAUGAAGAAAGCAGUUGAAACCCUGGGAUAAAAUCUUGCCCUGUUAGAAACCAGAAAAGGAUAAUGUGAAUUAGAGUUUAAUAAACAUGUUUACGAGUUAUCAGCAUAAAGAGAAAUUACAGUGUAAAACUAAAAGGUUCUUCAUUCAAAAUACCACAAAAAU
Cajanus cajan (pigeon pea) is the source of this 1724-nucleotide RNA transcript. RefSeq lists it as uncharacterized. The record is from RefSeq and is a predicted model, not a curated record. NCBI's taxonomy places the organism in Eukaryota, Viridiplantae, Streptophyta, Magnoliopsida, Fabales, Fabaceae.